GAUAACAAGGGGGAAGGGGAGAGCUGUAAGGAUCUGCACCUCCUGGUUCCCUGGGCACACCUUGGGCAAAGGGCUGCAGGGCAGCACAAGUCACUAUCACUGCCUGGAAGGCUCAGCUGAAGGCAGAAGAAGGUGCUCUUUUUUUCCAGGCCACUGUGCCAGUGGCAAAGAGGGAUUCCUGCUUUUGAGCUUGGGAAGAGAAGAUAAAGCAGUGACUCAACCAGCCUGGGCACUCCAAAUAAUGCCAUCUAGGUUGGACUAUCCCUCGUUACUGUUCUCUCUGACAUUUUUGAAGUUCUACGCCUGUGUCUGAGCGCACACAGAUAAGCUCUUACGAAAAAGCCAUCUGUCACCGUUUCCUAAACUUAUAAUCUAUGCAAUUCCUGCUUUCAAAAUUGCCAGGCAUCUGGCAGGGAAAAGAUCUGGCAAAGGCCAGAUGCUGUACUCUGCAGGAGGAAGUGAAAUCACCUAAAUAUUACAGGAUCAAAAAGCAACCGCAGCCGGGGAAAAAUUGCUUCACAAAUUGCGAAACCACAGAUGGCAGCAGAGAGAAAGACCUUAAUAACAAACAAAAAGACAUGGCUCCGUGUGGAGAUGAGCCCUUUCCUGGGACAGUCCAAGAGACACCCAAGCGAUGAAUACUAGGGAAAGAUCAGCAGAACAAGAGAGGCUGGAUUAAAGCUUUUUCACCUCCCAAGAACAGUCUCAAGUACCUACAGAGUUGUUCUGAGCUACCAUCACCCAUCAGCCUUGCUGAGCCUUGUCACCAACAGAGCUCAAAGCAGCUUUUCUGAAAACUUCCAGGGAACUUCAGCAGAAAUCCUGUUAAUUUUGCCUGAACAAAUGAAGUGUAGAAUAUAUAAAGUAGGCUUGUUUCACCCUCUGAAUAAGAUUAUGAGAAGGGGAAAGUUCAUUUGAGAAGUAAACAGGACUACAAAACACAAAAAGUUCAUUGUUUGUAAGGGGCAUUUCUUUGUUUAAUGCAAAUGUGGCUAUAACUGUGUUUGAGACCUUUGGCUGAAUUAAUUAUCCUUUUAAAUCAUUACAGAUAGCAAAACUACAAAUUAAGAACGCUUUUUUUGUACCAGAUAAAGAUGUGCCACCUUUCUCAGUUCUCUGAGCCAAUCCACUACCAAACCUGGAGCCAAUUACCAAAGCUGAAUAUGAAACUGGGAAAUAUUCAGGAGGACCUGCAAGACUGGAGCCAAAGAAUGGAAGAGCACUUGGGAAGGCAUGAAGAAAAACUGGAGAUAUCUUGAGAGUCUGAAUUAUUUUAAUGGCUAGAGACAGGCACCUCCUGAAAGUAACAAUUCUCCAUAGGGUGCUGCACACUGAUCUCCCUCUAGGGAGGGAGAUCGGUUUGAGGAGCUGGAAGUCUGAUAUGUCAAAUCACGCUGAGAAUAACAAAAGGAAAUCCCACAGUUAUCAAACCAAGCACAGAUAGUUCCUCUCAGGCCACAACUUUGACAUUUCACUGUCACAAAACACUUAAUCCUGUGAGUAAGGAUUAGCACUGCACAGGCCCUGUCCAGAGAACUUGUUGCUACAGAUUGUUUAAAAUUAUUGAUUUCCUUUCAUCAAU
This is a long non-coding RNA of Motacilla alba alba, 1582 nucleotides long. RefSeq lists it as uncharacterized. The record is from RefSeq and is a predicted model, not a curated record. The transcript is spliced from 4 exons. Lineage: Eukaryota; Metazoa; Chordata; Aves; Passeriformes; Motacillidae.